ACCCCAGGCCCUGGUACACAGCAGAGAUGGGUUUCACCAUGGUGAUCAGUCUGGUCUCGAACUCCUGACCUCAAGUGAUCCACCCACGUUGGCCUCCCAAAGUGCUGGGAUUACAGGCCUCCAGGCGGGCACGCAUCUUUGUUGUGUUCUCUGCUGACUAUAUCCUCAGCACCUAGAACUGUGUCUGUCACCUAAUAGAUGCUCACAAGAAUGGGUUGUGUCAGGAGAAGCAAAUCCCAAAUGAGAUAAACCUGCCAGUAAUUUCAGCAAAUGAAACGUGGAACACGUCAAGGCCAGAGGAUGGAAAAGGCUCCAGUUUUGAUAAAAGGAGGCCUGCUUGGCUUGGAAUCCUCUCUCCUGCUGGUUGGGAGAUGCAAAGAUGUUUCCAGAGAGGGGCUGAUGAAUUGAGGGGAAAGAAAUGAGCCCAGUAUGAGUCCCCUUUCAGGGCUGAGCGGGUAUAAAACCAAACAACUUGGAACCGCUCCAAGAGAGGGGAUUAAAGCAACAUGUUAUUC
RNAcentral lists this long non-coding RNA (515 nucleotides) under Pan troglodytes (chimpanzee). RNAcentral describes it as "lincRNA". The record is from RNAcentral. Lineage: Eukaryota; Metazoa; Chordata; Mammalia; Primates; Hominidae.